AGACCCGAAACCCGGUGAUCUAGCCAUGGGCAGGUUGAAGGUUGGGUAACACUAACUGGAGGACCGAACCGACUAAUGUUGAAAAAUUAGCGGAUGACCUGUGGCUGGGGGUGAAAGGCCAAUCAAACCGGGAGAUAGCUGGUUCUCCCCGAAAGCUAUUUAGGUAGCGCCUCGUGAAUUCAUCUCCGGGGGUAGAGCACUGUUUCGGCUAGGGGGCCAUCCCGGCUUACCAACCCGAUGCAAACUGCGAAUACCGGAGAAUGUUAUCACGGGAGACACACGGCGGGUGCUAACGUCCGUCGUGAAGAGGGAAACAACCCAGACCGCCAGCUAAGGUCCCAAAGUCAUGGUUAAGUGGGAAACGAUGUGGGAAGGCCCAGACAGCCAGGAUGUUGGCUUAGAAGCAGCCAUCAUUUAAAGAAAGCGUAAUAGCUCACUGGUCGAGUCGGCCUGCGCGGAAGAUGUAACGGGGCUAAACCAUGCACCGAAGCUGCGGCAGCGACACUGUGUGUUGUUGGGUAGGGGAGCGUUCUGUAAGCCUGUGAAGGUGUGUCGUGAGGCAUGCUGGAGGUAUCAGAAGUGCGAAUGCUGACA
This 594-nucleotide ribosomal RNA is filed under the name Salmonella enterica subsp. enterica serovar Heidelberg. Its description in RNAcentral is "partial 23S ribosomal RNA". It matches the Rfam family "Bacterial large subunit ribosomal RNA", at positions 711 to 1302 of the family's 2925-position model. RNAcentral also lists the same sequence under 5 other names. The record is from RNAcentral. Lineage: Bacteria; Pseudomonadati; Pseudomonadota; Gammaproteobacteria; Enterobacterales; Enterobacteriaceae.